RNAcentral lists this ribosomal RNA (290 nucleotides) under uncultured Acidobacteriota bacterium. RNAcentral's name for it is "uncultured Acidobacteria bacterium partial 16S ribosomal RNA". It matches the Rfam family "Bacterial small subunit ribosomal RNA", at positions 1083 to 1374 of the family's 1533-position model. Lineage: Bacteria; Pseudomonadati; Acidobacteriota. The record is from RNAcentral.
AGUCCCGCAACGAGCGCAACCCUUACCGUGAGUUACCAGCAUUUAGUUGGGGACUCUCGCGGAACUGCCGGUGAUAAACCGGAGGAAGGUGGGGAUGACGUCAAGUCCUCAUGGCCUUUAUGUCCAGGGCUACACACGUGCUACAAUGGCUGGUACAAACCGCCGCGAAGUCGCGAGACGGAGCCAAUCGGAAAAAACCAGUCUCAGUUCGGAUUGGAGAUGAGGGAGCGACUCCAUGAAGUUGGAAUCGCUAGUAAUCGCAGAUCAGCAUGCUGCGGUGAAUACGUUCC